UUUGAGACCGGCGCACGGGUGCGUAACGCGUAUGCAAUCUACCUUUCACAGAGGGAUAGCCCAGAGAAAUUUGGAUUAAUACCUCAUAGUAAUACGACUUGGCAUCAAGAUGUAUUUAAAGAUUUAUCGGUGAAAGAUGAGCAUGCGUCCCAUUAGCUAGUUGGUAUGGUAACGGCAUACCAAGGCUACGAUGGGUAGGGGUCCUGAGAGGGAGAUCCCCCACACUGGUACUGAGACACGGACCAGACUCC
Molecule: ribosomal RNA, 251 nt
Filed under: uncultured bacterium
Lineage: Bacteria
Description: partial 16S ribosomal RNA
Rfam family: Bacterial small subunit ribosomal RNA
Source: RNAcentral